Jatropha curcas is the source of this 2896-nucleotide non-coding RNA. Lineage: Eukaryota; Viridiplantae; Streptophyta; Magnoliopsida; Malpighiales; Euphorbiaceae. The record is from RefSeq and is a predicted model, not a curated record.
AAAAAAAAUUCUUGUCUUUUCUCACCCUAACAAGCUAAAGUUCAACGUCCAAUUCUAAAUUCAUUCUUCUUGCGUUAAAUUUUACAUAUGAAAAUCACAAAUUGCUUGAUGUUUCACACUAUAAAAGCAUUGGUGGGUUGGUUGGCCCGUUUGUCCUGCACGACGACUACAGGGGGAAGCAAUAACAAUUUUCACCAGAUCAUCUCUUUUAAAUGGGCAACCAAGCAAUACAGGAUAGGUAUGUUAGGAAUGUAGUAAUAAGUUAUGUAAUGUGUUGACCAUGUGGUUUUGUAACUCGUUAGUAGAUAGUAAGGGUUUGACCAUAUAAAGAGAGCAAGCAGUUGUCGUUGGAAUUGGAGACUAAAAACACAAUUAUUUUUCUCUAUAAAGUUUCUCAACCAAUAUUACCCUCUCGUUUCUUUGGCUUCUUUUUCUAAUGAGCUUUUCCUUGAGGUGAAGGAAUGCAAUAUAUGUUCCCACAAACUCAUAGCCAAUCUCUUGAUGUACUAAAAUUGAGUGCAAAGUUAGGUGAUCAUUAGUAUGAUCUACCUUCCAUUAUUAAGUAUUUAGAUUUUUGUGCACAUCAAUAGCAGUUUCUAUACACUUGUACAGUGUUCCAUAUUCUUCAUAUCCAUAUAGACAUCUAUAUCUCUCCAUAUCAGUAUAGAAUCUUGCACACUAGACUAGCUCACACCAUAAUAGCAUAUCCAAGAAUAUUCUAUGUAGGUAAAUUACAUCAAUGACACCGAACUUUUACUUGGUCAUUUAACUUCAAUUUGUAUAAACUUUGAUUAUUUUUUCAAUGGGAGGUUAUCUAUUGCAAUCCGGUGACUGGAAGUAUUAGCAUGACACUGAAAAUGAAAUUUUUGAUUUUUAAAAAAAUUGCAUUUUCUCUCGAAAGCUAAUUUGGGAUAUACCUAUCAAUUUUGUUAGCAAAUAAUGUCCACUCAAAUGAAACAAGUUGAAAAAGAAAAAGGGUAAACGAAAUCACUCUACAUUGUAUUAAUUUUCUUCUUCCUCUCUCUCCAUUAUUCUUUCAUAGCCAUCCUUUUUUUAUGAAAUAUUCUAUGUCUAACAUUAUUCCAGUGAAUUCUCAUUGAAAUCAAAGUUUAGUGACUAUAACAUAAGAUAUCAAACUUAAGAAUUUUAUUGAUACUAAGUAUAUAGUUUGGUGACCAUUGUGUAUUUUACCCAUUCUACACCAUUAUGCUUAACUUCUCAAGCUUUUAAAACAUUUUGGAACUUCCAAACCGUUCUAUACUAGAGCAUUGUUAGACCUUUCCAGACUGUUGUAGAGCACUCUUGAUUACCCCAUCAUCUUGGUAACCAGAGGUGGGGCCAAAAACAGAGUAGAGAUUACCCCCCAAUAGUAAUUUUCUUGCACAACAAUGACAUGAAGUAGUCAUCAACUUCUUUUUCCACUCUAAUGAACUUCCAUCAGCAUAAUGUCUGCUUCUCUAGAUAUAAACCCUAAAAUGCUCAGUCAACUGCUUUGAUGCUAUAAAAUAAUAACCGAAUCUCAAAACUAGUAGCACAAUAAUUAUUUUAUUUGAGAUGUGUGUUCACUAACAUUACUGAAUUCUUGUUAUAAUUAUUUAUAAUUGGGCUUUUUGAGUCCUAUUUCUGUAGCUUUGUUAAAAGUGUGUUUGCUGUAAUUGUAAAUACAAGCUUAUCAGUACAAAUAAUGUGUUUCUGUAAUUUGCUUGUUAGAUAAUUGAAUAAUCCAAAUCAGAUAUUUUUCCUCUUAUCUCUGUUCUAAGUCUCUCUCUUUUUCCUAUCGAUCUAUAACCUUUUCUUUUUCUCUCGUCGUACCUGCUGAUUUUCUCAGCAUGCAAACAUCUCCUUUCCGUCUCUAAAUUCUCUGGUUAGCAAAUAAUAACUAGACUAGGCCCUAAGUCCUAAUUCUCCCCCCCGUGGCUGUCAAUACUUCAGAAUGCUAACUUGUCAUUGUUCCGAAUUGCUAGAGUUUCCACCAAACAAUCUUCUAUUCACUUCUUUCUCACAUUUUCUUGGCAUCCCAUCAGGUCCUUUUGUGGAAUGUUAACUUGUUGCAUUUUCUUGAUAAUGGAACAAGCAAGAAUUGCGGAAUGUUUUUUUUGUAUAUGAAUGUAAUAGAAAUAAGUGGAAAAUGUUGUGAUAUUUGUGAAGAUUGAUUUUUCGUUUUCAAAGUAGUUUGGUGUUAGAGAAGUUAUAGAAGUGGUGAUUUCGAUAGUGGUAAAGAUUUAAAGCAGAAAUAUAUUGUAAGGUGAAAAAGAGACAGAAGGUAAUACAAAGAAAGGGAGGAGGUGAUGGAGAUGAAACAGAUGAAUGAAGUCAGUGGAAUAAUAAUAAGCAACAGCAAUGGAGAAUUAAAUUUUCUAAUUAUAAAUACAUAAAAAGUUAGAGAUAUUUAGUAACUUAAUUACAUAAUAAGUUUUAAACUACAAAUAUGUUCCAUUAAUAACAUUUCAAAAUAAGAUUCUACUAUAGAAAAAAGCAACAAUUUAAAAGCAAGACCUAAUAAAUAUGUGAAUUAUUUAUUCUUUAUAUUUAAAUUAUAAACCAAAUUAAGUUAACUGAAAUAAUUCAUAAUUACACACAUAUAUAUUUGAUAUUAUUUAUGGCUUGGGUCGGGUUUGAAGGUUCAUUAGUGAGCCUUUGACCCAAUUCAAUCAAUGAAUUAUAAAGAUGACCUGACCAACCCAACCCAUUAUAUUUCAAACCCAGGUUGGGUUGGGUCACUCAAAUUAGGUCGGGUUAUAACAUGUCGUGUGCAGCCCUAUUUAUAGGGGUAAAAGUAAUCUAGUUUAGUAUUUUUCGCAAGUAAAUCCAUCCAAAUAUAUUUGGUAAGAACUAAUUUGUUCGUUCAGGAACUUAAUUGUGAAAAAAAAAAAAAAAACUUGAAUGCAAUUAUUUU